This 253-nucleotide ribosomal RNA is filed under the name uncultured bacterium. RNAcentral describes it as "partial 16S ribosomal RNA". It matches the Rfam family "Bacterial small subunit ribosomal RNA", at positions 524 to 776 of the family's 1533-position model. The record is from RNAcentral.
UACGUAGGGGGCAAGCGUUGUCCGGAUUUAUUGGGCGUAAAGAGCGUGUAGGCGGCCAUACAGGUCCGUUGUGAAAACUGGAGGCUUAACCUCCAGACGUCGAUGGAAACCGUAUGGCUAGAGUCCGGAAGAGGAGAGUGGAAUUCCUGGUGUAGCGGUGAAAUGCGCAGAUAUCAGGAGGAACACCUAUUGCGAAGGCAGCUCGCUGGGACGUUACUGACGCUGAGACGCGAAAGCGUGGGGAGCAAACAGG